GCUGCGAAACCCGUCCAUGCGACUGAGAGCGCCGCCUUCCCUCUCCGCCCUUCUCUCGCCACCAAAACCCUACCUCUUCUCGAAGCCCUUCUCUCUUUCCUAUCUCUACCGUCCUCGAACCCUCGCGACCAUGGCUAAAACCCUCGACGAAUCCGACGUCGGCAUCUCCUGCUACGUCUCUUCCCUUGCCGGCUUCCGCGGCAUCUUGAAGCAGAGGUACUCUGAUUUCAUAGUCAACGAAGUAGAUUCCGAUGGGAACAUCGUCCGUCUCACCUCCUUUGAUCUUCCCCCAGAGGAAUUUGACGAGAAAGUUCGAGAGAAUCCUUGUUCCGAUGGUAAAGAUUACACCUUGGAGAUUGAAUCGUUUCGGUCCCUUUGCGGCGAGGUUGAUGCUGAUGCAUUGAAGGCUUUUCUUGGGAAGGUUUUGGCCUCAGAAAGCGAUGCCUCUCCCAUUGUGCUCUCUCCCGAUCCUGACAAGUCUCAUCGAGCGGAAGUUCACAAUUUCUUCAAGAGGAAUUUCAAGUUCUUGGUCACGGAUACUGUUGAAGAAUCAGAAGGGAGUUCAAAAUGCAUAAGGGUGAGGUUCUCUUCAGGCAAGGGAGGAGGUAUGAGCAAGAGGGGAAUGAAACGGAAGGAUACCAAAGAUGACAAACCAUUUGACAGCAGAGGCUCUAAGAAUUGGCCAGAGCAUAUUGGAAAGUUUUUGAGGUUUAAUCUUUAUAAAGAGAACAAGGACACCCAAGAGGCUUUAGGACUUAUUGGAAAGAUGCUAGGCGUUCAUCAACGAUCAUUCGGCUUUGCUGGUACAAAAGAUAAACGUGCUGUAACUACUCAAAGGGUUACCAUAUUCAAGCAGCAUGCGAAAAGGUUAGCUGAACUUAACAGCAGACUAUUUGGUGUUAAAGUAGGAGAUUUUUGUUAUGUAAAGGAAGGGCUUGUUCUUGGCCAGCUUGCAGGAAAUCGUUUCACAAUUACUUUGAGAGUCGUUGCUGCAGAUUGUAAGGACACCAUAAAAGCAGCUGCAGAUGGUUUACAGAGGAAUGGGUUUAUCAACUAUUAUGGUUUACAGCGUUUUGGAAGUGGUUCUGUGCCAACCCAUCUUGUUGGAGCAGCUUUACUUCGGGGGGAAUGGAAAGGUGCUGCAGCUCUGAUUCUUGAUCCCAGGGAAGGAGAACGCCCGAUCACAAGAGAGGCACGGGAAUAUUAUAAAGAACAUGGUGAUGUUGAUUCAACACUGAAGAAACUACCUCGUUUUCUGGUUGCUGAGAGGGCUAUUCUUCAAUGUUUGAAGAAGUCCCCUGGCAACUACCUGCAGGCACUAAAGGCUAUUCCUAGAACAUUGAGAAUGAUGUAUGUGCAUAGCUACCAAAGUUUUCUAUGGAACCAUGCAGCUAGCAUGAGGGUGCAGAAAUAUGGGAUUUCACAGAUGGUACUAGGAGAUUUGGUACUAUGUAAGGAAAUCUCUCCUGCAGAAAUGGCUUCCUCUGACAAUCCUGACCUCGAAGAUGAUUGUAAUGAUGGAGAUAAUUGUUUAUUGGAUUUGUCUGAUGGAGUACAUUCUGAAGAAAAGGUUCAAUUUGUAAAAGUUGUUGAUUCUGAAGAUCUUCUUAAAGGACUCUAUACAUUCGAGGACGUUGUACUUCCUUUGCCUGGUUCAAAAAUUUUGUAUCCAGCAAAUGAUAUUGCUGGUGUGUAUCAUGAUUUGGCAAAGAAGGAUGGAAUUAGCUUGACAGAAAGUGUUCAUGGUGCCAAGGAAUUUUCAAUUUCUAAUUUGAAGGGUGCUUAUAGACGGGUAUUUCAGCGUCCUAUUGAUUUUGUGUGGGAAUUACUGGAUUAUACAGAUGACAAUAUACCUUUGGUUGAGACCGAUCUUGAUAUCAUGCAAAAAGAUUCUGGCCUCUCUAACAAAGAAGUGUUUGUAGAUGGAAUCUCUGUCAGCCAGACUAAAAACUUAGAUUCAGAGGUUUCAAUUGGUAAACAUAUGGUUGAGGAUGGAAACGCGGAUCCAUCACCAACGAUCGAGCUUGUUCACAACACCGACAUUCAGUCACCCAAGCUUGCUCUGAAAUUAGCAUUUACUCUUCCAACGUCAUGCUAUGCCACGAUGGCCGUAAGGGAGUUACUAAAAUCUUCAACCUCAGUUUCUUAUCAUAAAUCACUGAACCAUUGACUCUAUUGGGUGUUAAAAGUUGUUUCUCUGGAAGAGUCACAAUAUUUGAAACGGACAGGGCAAGUUGCUGUGGAGGAUGAAGCCACUGAACCAUUUCAAAUUCAUUAGACACAGGUGUCAUUGGCAGACUGUUUUUACCUGCUGUGUUCUUCUUGACUGACUACUGCUAGAUUAUCAUCAGUGGCAACUUGAUUCAAUUUGUGGGCUGCAAUUAUGCACAAGGCUUCAACAAUGUGGCAGAGAUUUGGUGGAAUUCUCUUUCAUGGUUGUUAUGGAAGAUAGUUUUGGUUCACUGGGUUAAAAUGAUUUCCUGCAAUAUAUUCCAUUUUUAUCUUAUCUAGCAAAACCGAUUUGGUUAAGGUGCAAAAAAUGUCAGGUUAUAAAGUAGUAGUCUUUUGAUGUAGCAGACUGUCUAUGGCCUGCCUUUAUAAAAUAUGUAUACUGUUGCCUGUUCUUGUGGUUGUGUUUUGAUGCAGCAGACGAUGGCCUGUCUCUAUAAAAUAUGUGUAACUGUUGCCGUCUCUUGUUUCUUUGAAUGGUCUUGAGUAUGAAAAAAGAAUGCAUUUGUGGAA
Non-coding RNA from Musa acuminata subsp. malaccensis (wild Malaysian banana), 2742 nucleotides. The record is from RefSeq and is a predicted model, not a curated record. Lineage: Eukaryota; Viridiplantae; Streptophyta; Magnoliopsida; Zingiberales; Musaceae.